RNAcentral lists this unclassified non-coding RNA (376 nucleotides) under uncultured Gammaproteobacteria bacterium. RNAcentral's name for it is "contains 16S-23S intergenic spacer region". Lineage: Bacteria; Pseudomonadati; Pseudomonadota; Gammaproteobacteria. The record is from RNAcentral.
UCCGGUUUGUCACCGGCAGUCUCCUUAGAGUGCCCAACUAAAUGAUGGCAACUAAGGACAAGGGUUGCGCUCGUUGCGGGACUUAACCCAACAUCUCACGACACGAGCUGACGACAGCCAUGCAGCACCUGUGUUUAGGCUCCUUGCGGCACCCCUACAUCUCUGUAAGGUUCCUAACAUGUCAAGACCAGGUAAGGUUCUUCGCGUUGCAUCGAAUUAAACCACAUACUCCACCGCUUGUGCGGGCCCCCGUCAAUUUCUUUGAGUUUCAACCUUGCGGCCGUACUCCCCAGGCGGAGAACUUAGCGCGUUAGCUACGACACCGAUCAGCCAAGCUGACCAACGUCUAGUUCUCAUCGUUUACAGCGUGGACUAC